UACCUUGUGCAUGGAGGAGGGAACAGAGAUGAGCCUUUGAGGUGAUGCACUCAUUUGCUGAUCGAUGCACAUGACCUUGAAGUACUUCUAGGGGAGUUUGAGGAGGAGGGGAUCGAGAAAAUUAGAAAGAUACACGAAAUGAGAGUAUUAGCUACGGGAGGGAUUACUACUGACUGCAUAUGGAUGGUCUAAUGAUGCACCGGAUGGUCCAGAAUGAGCUAAGCCAUCUGAAGGUUCAAAAUGUGCAAGUAGGAAGUGCCGUUUUUUUUAGUUUGUAGAAAUUGAUUGGAAGUGUAUUGUCAGUCAAACCGGCUAUCUUGCGAUCUCCAGGCAAGAUGAAUAAAUCUAUUCAUGGAGCAGCAGGCAGCAAUGUGAGUGCUCCACCAUGAAUAUAUUAGACCUAGGCAGGAUCCAUCAAAGACGUGCGGAUUUGUUAACCAUGGCUAGCUAGUAUAGCUAGUUCCAAAGUCCAAAGAGUUGCCAAGAAGAGAAGAACACAGCUGGUUGCUUUAAUAGUUUGCUCCCUCUGGCUCUAUAUAAUUCUUGAUGUUUUAGUCUUUUAGACAUGGUUGAAGUCAAAUAAUUAUAACUUUGACUAUCAAUAACUUUUAAAAUAUUUAGUUUGUAGACACUAGAACAAGACAUAUAGAUUACUAUUAAAAAAUACUUUGAUAAAAUUAAAUAUUUACUGUUUUUUCUGUAUUAUAAUAGAAAAAAUCAUAGUCAAAAAUAUGUUUUGGAGAACUUAUCGUUGUCCGAAACGAGUACUAGCUUAUUACCAUGUGACUCUGAUGUGAAAUUUUUACUUUUUACAAGAUGACAUGGUGACUUGAGAUGCAGCAUGUGCAGGCUCCAUUUUGCAUGCAUAUGGAUACUCAGUAGUAAACUACAGAGCAACAGUUUAAUGGAGUAUGUCACAAAUGGCCAACAAUGACAUAAGCACAACUGCAAUCUGCAAUGGAAGGUGAGUAUAUGCAUGCUUGCACGGCCAUCUCUUCUAGGUGGCUGAGAGCAAGUAUAAUAGAGGGCUAUAAGAAAGCUGAAUGCUGAGGUGGAUGAGAGAGGAGAGGAGAGAGAUGAGAAGCGGGUUGUAAGUUUACAGCCGGCUUAGGCACAAGAACCAAUAAAAUCUGUGAGACAGACAGGUGGACUAUAUAUUUAUAGUGAAAAGUUAACCACUAUAUAAGUGAGCUGAUAGAUAGGCUAUAAGUAAGCAGUUGGUUUUAUUAUUAUCCUUGCUCUGAUGGGCUGCAUGUUGAUUCUGCUGCGUCGGUGAAAUGAACCCAAGAACAUGGCAGGCAUCAAUCAACAUUCCUUGCAUCAUGAACUGGCUAGUUGAGUCUUGUGGGUGGCUCUAUGCGAAUUCAGGGAAAAUAGUGUCCCAAAGGUCAAGUCUAAUAUUUCUUGAUGGAUUAAAGAUUUGUAAUUGCAACGAGUUUCAGAGUUCAGUUCCAAUUUGGUGGGAAACUGGAGAAAAAAACUUGUUAAAUGUUGAUUUCCAUGCUUUGUUCAUGUGUAUCUCACUGGACGCUGCUUUGCUGAAAUGUACUUUACCUGUAUCUAUCACAGGUUCAGAACCUGUGAUUGUGAGGCAUCAUGUGAAUAAAGGAGUGAUUUUACAA
Molecule: non-coding RNA, 1622 nt
Organism: Oryza sativa Japonica Group (Japanese rice)
Lineage: Eukaryota; Viridiplantae; Streptophyta; Magnoliopsida; Poales; Poaceae
Source: RefSeq, a predicted model, not a curated record